UCCUUGGCGUGCUCUGCAUGGCAGAACUACUGCGCAUCUGCGCAGCAGCUUGUCAUGGGGCCGCCUUUUCAUUAUCCCUCCUGACUGGUGUGUAAUUUCGCCUGGGAGGGAAUUCCUUUGUCAGCUUUGUCUGUGUUGUUCUAUCCAAGCAUGGAAACAAGAUCGGCCGUAUGAUGUGUGUUUUCUGCUUGCCUUGUUGAUGAUUUUAUCGUCUCCAGGGCAGUCGAAUUGUCGGUGAGACUCACGUGCAUCCCACAGUAGUUCAGCUGUGGCACUGCACUUGGGUGUUGUCGGCUCUUGCGGAUGCUGUGUCCACAAUGAGUUCUGUAGGCCACUGGUCCACAGGCUUUGAGAGGCCCCUUGUACGAAUCACUGGUUCGUCGAUCGCCCGUCAAGUCGGUUCUGCCGUCAUGCUGGAGCGGGGUGUGGGUUGCCUCUCUGACCUAAUUAGCAGCGAUUGUCGGCUUGUAUUGUUAGGCGUGCCUCCCCUCUGGGGCGGUUCCGGAAACAACGAGCCGACUCUCGUUUAAGACGUGC
This 537-nucleotide unclassified non-coding RNA is filed under the name Rhynchospora perrieri. RNAcentral's name for it is "partial external transcribed spacer 1F". The record is from RNAcentral. Lineage: Eukaryota; Viridiplantae; Streptophyta; Magnoliopsida; Poales; Cyperaceae.